This 114-nucleotide ribosomal RNA is filed under the name Notamacropus eugenii (tammar wallaby). The record is from RNAcentral. Lineage: Eukaryota; Metazoa; Chordata; Mammalia; Diprotodontia; Macropodidae.
GCAACACAAUCUACCAUCCCCAAUGUGCCCAAACUCACCUGAACUUAGGAGACAUGCAGCAUCAGGCUUGGGCAGUACUUAGAUGGCAAACCCCCUGGGGAUACUGGGCUUUCU